This 898-nucleotide ribosomal RNA is filed under the name Vibrio harveyi. RNAcentral describes it as "bacterial SSU rRNA". It matches the Rfam family "Bacterial small subunit ribosomal RNA", at positions 42 to 923 of the family's 1533-position model. Lineage: Bacteria; Pseudomonadati; Pseudomonadota; Gammaproteobacteria; Vibrionales; Vibrionaceae. The record is from RNAcentral.
GGAGGCUAUAAUGUCAGUCGAGCGGAAACGAGUUAUCUGAACCUUCGGGGAACGAUAACGGCGUCGAGCGGCGGACGGGUGAGUAAUGCCUAGGAAAUUGCCCUGAUGUGGGGGAUAACCAUUGGAAACGAUGGCUAAUACCGCAUAAUACCUUCGGGUCAAAGAGGGGGACCUUCGGGCCUCUCGCGUCAGGAUAUGCCUAGGUGGGAUUAGCUAGUUGGUGAGGUAAUGGCUCACCAAGGCGACGAUCCCUAGCUGGUCUGAGAGGAUGAUCAGCCACACUGGAACUGAGACACGGUCCAGACUCCUACGGGAGGCAGCAGUGGGGAAUAUUGCACAAUGGGCGCAAGCCUGAUGCAGCCAUGCCGCGUGUGUGAAGAAGGCCUUCGGGUUGUAAAGCACUUUCAGUCGUGAGGAAGGUAGUGUAGUUAAUAGCUGCAUUAUUUGACGUUAGCGACAGAAGAAGCACCGGCUAACUCCGUGCCAGCAGCCGCGGUAAUACGGAGGGUGCGAGCGUUAAUCGGAAUUACUGGGCGUAAAGCGCAUGCAGGUGGUUUGUUAAGUCAGAUGUGAAAGCCCGGGGCUCAACCUCGGAAUAGCAUUUGAAACUGGCAGACUAGAGUACUGUAGAGGGGGGUAGAAUUUCAGGUGUAGCGGUGAAAUGCGUAGAGAUCUGAAGGAAUACCGGUGGCGAAGGCGGCCCCCUGGACAGAUACUGACACUCAGAUGCGAAAGCGUGGGAGCAAACAGGAUUAGAUACCCUGGUAGUCCACGCCGUAAACGAUGUCUACUUGGAGGUUGUGGCCUUGAGCCGUGGCUUUCGGAGCUAACGCGUUAAGUAGACCGCCUGGGGAGUACGGUCGCAAGAUUAAAACUCAAAUGAAUUGACGGGGGCCCG